AAAUAUUAUUUUUUUGUUUUUUGUUUUCUAUUUUUAUAUUUUUCUUGUCAACUCGAAUAAAAUUCUCUUAUUAUUAUCUUCCUCGCAAUUUUUCCAUAUUUACUCAUAUUAAUGGGUUACCAUUUCCAAGAAUCGUGAUUAAAUGUCAGUUCUGUCCCCAGCUUGUUGGAAAAACGCAUCAACUACACCAACGGGAUAAGUGAAAAUCCAAUUGGGAAAAUAUCCUAACUUCAUCACAAAUUCAAAUUAUAAAGUUCAGUCAGAUAGAAACAACCGUAAGCGUAUGGAGGCACAGGUGGUAAAAAAGAAAACAUUUGCGUUUGAAUUCUGCAAGAAAGCGAUUAUAUUGUAUUAGAAGGAAAAAAAUUAUUUCACCUUGAUGAAAGAAAGCUGAAAUCCAUUCCUAUGACAAUCAAUCAACAACUACAUUAUUCCUGGACAACGGUUUAUAUUCGACCAAGUACCGUCAACUCAAAAUACAAACGAGAUCGGAACCCAUUACUUGCAGUCGGGGAUUCGGCAGCAAAAUUCACCAAUUGGAAAAUGUUCUCGCGUUCCCAUUAACAUCAAACCAACCUGAAGAACGAUAUUUCAUCUAUUCCAACCAAUAUUAGAUCUUCCUUAAUGGUUAAAAGAAGAAGUUGUGAUUAAAAGAUAAUCAUUUGUACAUAUCUUUCGACAGCAAGCACUCUCUUCAAAUCACUCCAACGUCACAGAAUAUUAUUGCAGCCUUGAGUGCGUGUGAGUGUUCUUUUUAGGGGCAAUUGAAGUUCAUCAGCGAUUUUCGCACGUCUAAUUGGAUGGAAUUCCCGUGGAUGACAGGCGGCAUUUAAUUGCGCCACAUUGGAAAAUGUAAAUCACUGCGUGGCAUGUGGCAUGUGGCAUGCCACAUAACACACCACAAAACUAUAUAAAUAAGAAGCGAGGCGCAUAGAAACUAAAGGACGGACGGAAAAUAUUUUUUGUACUUAGCAAAAGAGUCAAAGACAAGCGGGAGAGACAGCCACCACACUCACACGCUCACGAGUAACGGUAUUUUGAGUUAUGGUGCGAUCGUUUUCUUUUGUCGCCUGCAAUUAAAAUGAAAUAAAGCAAA
Long non-coding RNA from Zeugodacus cucurbitae (melon fly), 1096 nucleotides. RefSeq lists it as uncharacterized. The record is from RefSeq and is a predicted model, not a curated record. The transcript is spliced from 3 exons. NCBI's taxonomy places the organism in Eukaryota, Metazoa, Arthropoda, Insecta, Diptera, Tephritidae.